GACGGAGGAUGCAAGUGUUAUCCGGAAUCACUGGGCGUAAAGCGUCUGUAGGUGGUUUAAUAAGUCAACUGUUAAAUCUUGAGGCUCAACCUCAAAAUCGCAGUCGAAACUAUUAGGCUAGAGUAUAGUAGGGGUAAAGGGAAUUUCCAGUGGAGCGGUGAAAUGACGUAGAGAUUGGAAAGAACACCGAUGGCGAAGGCACUUUACUGGGCUAUUACUAACACUCAGAGACGAAAGCUAGGGUAGCAAAUGGG
RNAcentral lists this ribosomal RNA (254 nucleotides) under uncultured bacterium. RNAcentral's name for it is "partial 16S ribosomal RNA". It matches the Rfam family "Bacterial small subunit ribosomal RNA", at positions 524 to 776 of the family's 1533-position model. The record is from RNAcentral.